RNAcentral lists this ribosomal RNA (162 nucleotides) under uncultured eukaryote. RNAcentral's name for it is "partial 18S ribosomal RNA". It matches the Rfam family "Eukaryotic small subunit ribosomal RNA", at positions 1487 to 1651 of the family's 1831-position model. The record is from RNAcentral.
CCGCACGCGCGCUACACUGAAGGGAUAAGCGUGUUUUUCCUGCUCCGAAAGGAGUGGGUAAUCCNUGAAACCCCUUCGUGAUUGGGAUCGGGGCUUGAAAUUAUUCUCCGUGAACGAGGAAUUCCCAGUAAGCGCGAGUCAUAAGCUCGCGUUGAUUACGUC